CCUACGGGUGACAGCAGUGGGGAAUAUUGCGCAAUGGGCGAAAGCCUGACGCAGCGACGCCGCGUGAGGGAUGAAGGUCUUCGGAUCGUAAACCUCUGUCAGCAGGGAAGAACGGUCACUGUGCUAAUCAGCAGUGAAUUGACGGUACCUGCAAAGGAAGCACCGGCUAACUCCGUGCCAGCAGCCGCGGUAAUACGGAGGGUGCGAGCGUUAAUCGGAAUUACUGGGCGUAAAGCGCUCGUAGGCGGUAUGUCAAGUCAAGGGUGAAAUCCCCGCGCUCAACGUGGGAACUGCCUUUGAAACUGGCAAACUGGAGUGUGUGAGAGGAUAGUGGAAUUCCAGGUGUAGGAGUGAAAUGCGUAGAUAUCUGGAGGAACAUCAGUGGCGAAGGCGACUAUCUGGCACAUAACUGACGCUGAGGAGCGAAAGCGUGGGUAGCAAACAGGAUUAGAUACCCUAGUAGUC
RNAcentral lists this ribosomal RNA (465 nucleotides) under uncultured bacterium. Its description in RNAcentral is "partial 16S ribosomal RNA". It matches the Rfam family "Bacterial small subunit ribosomal RNA", at positions 338 to 795 of the family's 1533-position model. The record is from RNAcentral.